RNAcentral lists this ribosomal RNA (253 nucleotides) under uncultured bacterium. RNAcentral describes it as "partial 16S ribosomal RNA". It matches the Rfam family "Bacterial small subunit ribosomal RNA", at positions 524 to 776 of the family's 1533-position model. The record is from RNAcentral.
UACGAAGGGGGCUAGCGCUGUUCGGAUUUACUGGGCGUAAAGCGCACGUAGGCGGAUAGCUAAGUGAGGGGUGAAAUCCCAGGGCUCAACCCUGGAACUGCCUUUCAUACUGGCUAUCUAGAGUCCGGAAGAGGUGAGUGGAACUCCUAGUGUAGAGGUGGAAUUCGUAGAUAUUAGGAAGAACACCAGUGGCGAAGGCGGCUCACUGGUCCGGUACUGACGCUGAGGUGCGAAAGCGUGGGGAGCAAACAGG